RNAcentral lists this ribosomal RNA (580 nucleotides) under uncultured bacterium. RNAcentral describes it as "partial 16S ribosomal RNA". It matches the Rfam family "Bacterial small subunit ribosomal RNA", at positions 355 to 932 of the family's 1533-position model. The record is from RNAcentral.
UGGGGAAUUUUGGACAAUGGGCGAAAGCCUGAUCCAGCAAUGCCGCGUGUGUGAAGAAGGCCUUCGGGUUGUAAAGCACUUUUGUCCGGAAAGAAAUCCUUGGCUCUAAUACAGUCGGGGGAUGACGGUACCGGAAGAAUAAGCACCGGCUAACUACGUGCCAGCAGCCGCGGUAAUACGUAGGGUGCAAGCGUUAAUCGGAAUUACUGGGCGUAAAGCGUGCGCAGGCGGUUUGCUAAGACCGAUGUGAAAUCCCCGGGCUCAACCUGGGAACUGCAUUGGUGACUGGCAGGCUAGAGUAUGGCAGAGGGGGGUAGAAUUCCACGUGUAGCAGUGAAAUGCGUAGAGAUGUGGAGGAAUACCGAUGGCGAAGGCAGCCCCCUGGGCCAAAUACUGACGCUCAUGCACGAAAGCGUGGGGAGCAAACAGGAUUAGAUACCCUGGUAGUCCACGCCCUAAACGAUGUCAACUAGUUGUUGGGGAUUCAUUUCCUUAGUAACGUAGCUAACGCGUGAAGUUGACCGCCUGGGGAGUACGGUCGCAAGAUUAAAACUUAAAGGAAUUGACGGGGUCAUAGCUG